AGUGAGCGCUGGCGGUAGGCCUAACACAUGCAAGUCGAACGGCAGCACAGUAAGAGCUUGCUCUUACGGGUGGCGAGUGGCGGACGGGUGAGGAAUACAUCGGAAUCUACUUUUUCGUGGGGGAUAACGUAGGGAAACUUACGCUAAUACCGCAUACGACCUACGGGUGAAAGCAGGGGAUCUUCGGACCUUGCGCGAUUGAAUGAGCCGAUGUCGGAUUAGCUAGUUGGCGGGGUAAAGGCCCACCAAGGCGACGAUCCGUAGCUGGUCUGAGAGGAUGAUCAGCCACACUGGAACUGAGACACGGUCCAGACUCCUACGGGAGGCAGCAGUGGGGAAUAUUGGACAAUGGGCGCAAGCCUGAUCCAGCCAUACCGCGUGGGUGAAGAAGGCCUUCGGGUUGUAAAGCCCUUUUGUUGGGAAAUAAAAGCAGCAGGUUAAUACCCCGCUGUUCUGACGGUACCCAAAGAAUAAGCACCGGCUAACUUCGUG
Molecule: ribosomal RNA, 492 nt
Filed under: uncultured bacterium
Lineage: Bacteria
Description: partial 16S ribosomal RNA
Rfam family: Bacterial small subunit ribosomal RNA
Source: RNAcentral